This 639-nucleotide ribosomal RNA is filed under the name Pseudomonas sp. SG-1-15. RNAcentral's name for it is "bacterial SSU rRNA". It matches the Rfam family "Bacterial small subunit ribosomal RNA", at positions 56 to 691 of the family's 1533-position model. The record is from RNAcentral. Lineage: Bacteria; Pseudomonadati; Pseudomonadota; Gammaproteobacteria; Pseudomonadales; Pseudomonadaceae.
UGCAAGUCGAGCGGAUGAGAGGAGCUUGCUCCUGGAUUCAGCGGCGGACGGGUGAGUAAUGCCUAGGAAUCUGCCUGGUAGUGGGGGACAACGUUUCGAAAGGAACGCUAAUACCGCAUACGUCCUACGGGAGAAAGCAGGGGACCUUCGGGCCUUGCGCUAUCAGAUGAGCCUAGGUCGGAUUAGCUAGUUGGUGAGGUAAUGGCUCACCAAGGCGACGAUCCGUAACUGGUCUGAGAGGAUGAUCAGUCACACUGGAACUGAGACACGGUCCAGACUCCUACGGGAGGCAGCAGUGGGGAAUAUUGGACAAUGGGCGAAAGCCUGAUCCAGCCAUGCCGCGUGUGUGAAGAAGGUCUUCGGAUUGUAAAGCACUUUAAGUUGGGAGGAAGGGCAGUAAAUUAAUACUUUGCUGUUUUGACGUUACCGACAGAAUAAGCACCGGCUAACUCUGUGCCAGCAGCCGCGGUAAUACAGAGGGUGCAAGCGUUAAUCGGAAUUACUGGGCGUAAAGCGCGCGUAGGUGGUUCGUUAAGUUGGAUGUGAAAUCCCGGGCUCAACCUGGGAACUGCAUUCAAAACUGUCGAGCUAGAGUAUGGUAGAGGGUGGUGGAAUUUCCUGUGUAGCGGUGAAAUGCGU